UACGGCUCAGUAACGCGUAGUCAACCUACCCUAUGGACGGAAAUAACCUCGGGAAACUGAGAAUAAUAUCCGAUAGAACAUUAUGCCUGGAAUGGUUUAUGUUCCAAAUGAUUUAUCGCCGUAGGAUGGGACUGCGGCCUAUCAGUUUGUUGGUGAGGUAAUGGCCCACCAAGACUAUUACAGGUACGGGCUCUGAGAGGAGUAGCCCGGAGAUGGGUACUGAGACACGGACCCAGGCCCUAUGGGGCGCAGCAGGCGAGAAAACUUUGCAAUGUGCGAAAGCACGACAAGGUUAAUCCGAGUGAUUUCUGCUAAAGAAAUCUUUUGUUAGUCCUAGAAACACUAACGAAUAAGGGGUGGGCAAGUUCUGGUGUCAGCCGCCGCGGUAAAACCAGCACCUCAAGUGGUCAGGAUGAUUAUUGGGCCUAAAGCAUCCGUAGCCGGCUCUGUAAGUCCUCGGUUAAAUCUGUACGCUUAACGUACAGGCUGCCGGGAAUACUGCAUAGCUAGGGAGUGGGAGAGGUAGACGGUACUCGGUAGGAAGGGGUAAAAUCCUUUGAUCUAUUGAUGACCACCUGUGGCGAAGGCGGUCUACCAGAACACGUCCGACGGUGAGGGAUGAAAGCUGGGGGAGCAAACCGGAUUAGAUACCCGGGUAGUCCCAGCUGUAAACUAUGCAAACUCAGUGAUGCAUUGGCUUGUGGCCAAUGCAGUGCUGCAGGGAAGCCGUUAAGUUUGCCGCCUGGGAAGUACGUACGCAAGUAUGAAACUUAAAGGAAUUGGCGGGGGAGCACCACAAGGGGUGAAGCCUGCGGUUCAAUUGGAGUCAACGCCGGGAAGGGCGAAUU
Molecule: ribosomal RNA, 848 nt
Filed under: uncultured archaeon
Lineage: Archaea
Description: bacterial SSU rRNA
Rfam family: Archaeal small subunit ribosomal RNA
Source: RNAcentral